AUCUCUAACUAAAAAAAGAAAAGAACAGACCCACAAGCAGCAACUCUUCUCUUCAUCUUUUCAUCCAGUGGUUGACUUGAAGAGAACGAGUGCAAGCUAAGAUAGUUCAUGUAAUCCGAUGUUUCGACAAAAUUGCGAAUGUUUGAUCGUUUGCAUGACAUAAUAGGACACUUCUUACCAAAAGAUUAUAACUACCGAACGAAACUCAGAGCAAAAUUUACUUACCAUAGUUGCCUAAGAGUUAAAGUUCCUCCUCGUUCACUUCGAAUGGCAAUGGCUAUGAACUAUUCAUCUUGGAGGCUUCUGAUAUUUUUAUCAUACUACAAAUCCAUAGAUUUCCUUAAUUUAUGACCUUCUUACCCUGCCCAACCAGUUGAAGCAAGUAAAGAUACUUACUAAGACCAAGUAACAAUCAAAGCUUAUAAUAUGGACAAAGAUAGUAUGAAGCAGUUGAAUUGCCUAUUUAUCUUUAUUUAUCAAUGGUAACUCAGUCAUGCAGUUACAGUAGUUACUUACUAGCAGAAGAUGUUUCAGAAACCAAGCCAUGAACAAGUAGUGCCUUUGGUCUAUUAUUUUGUAUAGUUUAUCUUCGUGAAUUUAAUUUCAUUUUUAUGGAGUGAGAUUUAUUGUUUUCGAA
Molecule: long non-coding RNA, 637 nt
Organism: Nicotiana attenuata
Lineage: Eukaryota; Viridiplantae; Streptophyta; Magnoliopsida; Solanales; Solanaceae
Exons: 4
Source: RefSeq, a predicted model, not a curated record